CUGCGCGGGAGCCGGGAGUCCCCGCGGCGGGCGGCGGCGGCGGCGUUGGCGGCGGCGGCGUUGGCGGAAGGAGGCGGCGGUAGAGAGAAGCCCGCGGCUGCCGCGGGCAUAGCGAAAUGGCGGAGACCGUAGCGGACACCCGGCAGCUCAUCACCAAGCCGCAGAACCUGAAUGACGCCUACGGGCCGCCCAGCAACUUCCUCGAGAGAGAUCGACGUGAGCAACCCGCAGACCGUGGGGGUCGGCCGCUUCACCACCUACGAGAUCAGGGUCAAGACAAAUCUUCCUAUUUUCAAGCUGAAGGAAACUACUGUUAGAAGAAGAUACAGUGACUUUGAGUGGCUUCGAAGCGAACUAGAGAGAGAGAGCAAGGUUGUGGUUCCCCGCUCCCUGGGAAAGCAUUUUUGCGGCAGCUUCCUUUUAGAGGAGACGAUGGAAUAUUUGAUGACAAUUUCAUCGAGGAAAGGAAGCAAGGGCUGGAACAGUUCAUAAACAAGGUCGCCGGUCAUCCUCUGGCCCAGAAUGAACGUUGUCUUCACAUGUUUUUACAGGAUGAAAUUAUAGAUAAAAGCUAUACUCCAUCUAAAAUAAGACAUGCCUGAGUUUAGCAAGAAGAAGCAAAACCUGAGACCAUCGGUGAUUCACCCACACCAAUGAAGAAGUUGUAACUAACUUAGCAUGCUGCCCAGUCACUGGUAUAACACGCCUGGGUAUCCUAACACUUCCACGCUCCCUUCCAUUCUCUUUGUUUUGGCAGUUGACAAGAUGUUAAUUUGCUUUAGUGAAAACUCCCUCGCUCCAGCCUUCUUUCUGAGUAGCUCUUCCCGCGGUGUCUGUGCGCGCACGGUAGCCUCCCAGCCCCUAGAACCUGCAGUGUCCUGACUAAAGCUGCCGACUUGCUCUCACUUACAGUUCCUGUGUCUGUUUGCUUCUUGAAUCUGAUUGACUAGAGUAUUUCUCCCCCACCCCUUGAUGUGUGAUGUCACCACUUGGUCCUAAUUUAUGUGCAGGAGCACGACACCAUUUGUCUCCAGUGCCACACAUAGGAGGUGAACUUUGUGUGCAGAACGUGGUGUCUUCCUUCUGGCCUGUAAUCCCCUUCACAUGAAAGAUUAAUGAGGGAAAUCUUUAUAUUCUGUAUAAAAACAAAAUCAAAUUUAUAUACUAAAAUCAUUUGUCUAAAAUUUAAGUUGUUUUCAAAUAAAAGUUGAAAUGC
This is a non-coding RNA of Arvicanthis niloticus (Nile rat), 1216 nucleotides long. Lineage: Eukaryota; Metazoa; Chordata; Mammalia; Rodentia; Muridae. The record is from RefSeq and is a predicted model, not a curated record.